CUUGCUUCUCUUGAGAGCGGCGGACGGGUGAGUAAUGCCUAGGAAUCUGCCUGGUAGUGGGGGAUAACGUCCGGAAACGGACGCUAAUACCGCAUACGUCCUACGGGAGAAAGCAGGGGACCUUCGGGCCUUGCGCUAUCAGAUGAGCCUAGGUCGGAUUAGCUAGUUGGUGGGGUAAUGGCUCACCAAGGCGACGAUCCGUAACUGGUCUGAGAGGAUGAUCAGUCACACUGGAACUGAGACACGGUCCAGACUCCUACGGGAGGCAGCAGUGGGGAAUAUUGGACAAUGGGCGAAAGCCUGAUCCAGCCAUGCCGCGUGUGUGAAGAAGGUCUUCGGAUUGUAAAGCACUUUAAGUUGGGAGGAAGGGCAGUAAAUUAAUACUUUGCUGUUUUGACGUUACCGAUAGAAUAAGCACCGGCUAACUCUGUGCCAGCAGCCGCGGUAAUACAGAGAGUGCAAGCGUUAAUCGGAAUUACUGGGCGUAAAGCGCGCGUAGGUGGUUCGUUAAGUUGGAUGUGAAAUCCCCGGGCUCAACCUGGGAACUGCAUUCAAAACUGACGAGCUAGAGUAUGGUAGAGGGUGGUGGAAUUUCCUGUGUAGCGGUGAAAUGCGUAGAUAUAGGAAGGAACACCAGUGGCGAAGGCGACCACCUGGACUGAUACUGACACUGAGGUGCGAAAGCGUGGGGAGCAAAC
This 698-nucleotide ribosomal RNA is filed under the name uncultured bacterium. RNAcentral's name for it is "bacterial SSU rRNA". It matches the Rfam family "Bacterial small subunit ribosomal RNA", at positions 79 to 773 of the family's 1533-position model. The record is from RNAcentral.